This 3141-nucleotide ribosomal RNA is filed under the name Triticum aestivum (bread wheat). Its description in RNAcentral is "partial small subunit ribosomal RNA". The record is from RNAcentral. Lineage: Eukaryota; Viridiplantae; Streptophyta; Magnoliopsida; Poales; Poaceae.
AUGGCAAUGGCAAUGGGGGACAUGAGAUUGCUAUGCCCAUUGCUAGCCGUCCUGAUGGUUGCCACGGCAACCGCCAGCGACGAGGCCGCGCUGCUAGCUUUCAAAGCACAGAUCAGCCAUGGUGGCUUGCUGGCCUCCUGGAAUAGGAGCGCCGGCUUCUGCAGCUGGGAAGGCGUGACGUGCAGCCAUCGGAGGCCGGCGCAGGUGGUGGCGUUGAUAUUGAACGGCACUGGGCUCACCGGGGCACUCUCCCCGGCCAUCGGGAACCUCACGUUUCUGCGGACGCUCGACCUGAGCUUCAACUCGCUCCAUGGGGGCAUUCCGGCGAGCCUCGGCCACCAGGGGCUCUACUUGGACGACAAUGCGUUCUCCGGCACUUUCCCAGUGAACCUGAGCUCAUGCGUCAGCAUGAACGAAAUGGUACUGGACAACAACAAGAUUGGCGGGUGCAUCCCGGCUGAGCUCGGUGAGAAGCUCACGUCCUUGACAGAGUUCUCGCUGAGUAACAACAGCUUCAGAGGGCACAUCCCGGCAACACUGGCCAAUCUAUCCCAUCUACAGAUCCUCGAUCUCACCAGUAACCAGCUCGUGGGCUCGAUCCCACCGGGGCUCCAAAGCAUCCACAACAUGCGGUAUUUCAGUCUCUACGGCAACCUCCUCUCUGGUAUGAUCCCACUUUCUCUCUACAACUGGUCAUCAUUGGAAGUACUUGAUGUAGCUCUAAAUAUGUUAUAUGGAACCAUUCCGGAUGAUAUCGGAAGCAAGUUCCCCAAUAUGAAAGCUCUGAGCUUAUCUUCCAAUCACUUCAGUGGGGCCCUCCCCUCAUCAAUAUCCAAUAUGUCUCAUCUCACAACAAUUUUUCUCUGGAAAAAUAGAUUUAGUGGGUAUGUGCCUCCCACAUUGGGGAGACUGGGAGUUCUCCAAUAUCUGAACUUGGCUGACAAUCGGUUCGAAGCAAAUGACAACAAGGGAUGGGAAUUCAUCACCUCUCUGGCAAACUGCAGCCGACUGCAGAUAUUAGAACUCAGCGUCAAUCCUUUAGGAGGACAACUACCAGGUUCAAUUGUCAACCUAUCAACGACUCUCCGGGACUUAAGUUUAACUGACAAUAUGAUCUCCAGGGUUAUUCCUGCUUACAUAGGCAAUCUGGUUGGUCUCACAAGACUUGUGAUAGCAAACACUUCCAUAUCCGGAGUUAUUCCAGAGAGCAUUGGCAAGCUCAAGAACUUGAUCCAGCUAGGCUUGUACAACACUAGAUUGUCUGGCUUCAUACCGCCAUCGCUAGGAAACCUUUCGCGGUUGAAUGGGCUUAUUGCAAGUAAUGGCAACUUGGAGGGACCAAUUCCGGCAAGCCUGGGGAAGUUGAAAAAUCUUUUUGAACUUGAUUUGUCAAUGAAUUACAGACUUAACGGUUCAAUACCCAGAGAGAUCUUCAAAUUACCCGGCCUCUCUUCGCAUUUGGACUUGUCAUACAAUUCCCUUUCUGGACCCCUUCCUAAUGAGGUUGGUAGUUUGGCAAACCUUAACCAACUGAUUCUAUCAGGAAACCAGAUGUUUGGCAAGAUACCUGACGGUAUUCAGAAUUGCAUAGUGCUGGAAUGGCUGUUAUUAGACGAUAAUUCCUUUGAAGGAGGCAUACCUCAGUCACUGAAGAAUAUAAAGGGGCUCAGUAAACUGAACCUGGCCAUGAAUAAGUUCUCUGGUAAUAUUCCUGAAGCCCUUGGUAGUAUUGGAAACCUGCAAGAACUGUACCUAGCACACAACAACUUGUCAGGAUCAAUCCCAGUAGUUCUACAGAAUUUGACAUCAUUAUCCAAACUGGAUGUAUCCUUCAAUAAUUUGCAAGGCGAGGUGCCAGAUGAAGGUGUUUUCAGAAACAUCACUUACUUAGCGGUUGCUGGGAAUAUCAAUUUGUGUGGUGGUACACCUCAACUUCAUUUGGCCCCAUGCUCCAUAAGCAAGAACAAAAAAAACAUGCCAAAGUCUCUUGUAAUUUCUCUGGCGACAGCUGGAGCGAUCUUUUUAUCACUUUCAGCUAUUCUUCUUGUUUGGAUACUUUGCAAGAAGCUCAAACCAAGCCAGAAGACACUAGCACAAGAUUCAAUUGCUGAUGACCAUUACAUGAGAAUCCCCUAUCAUGCAUUAUUGAGAGGAACUAACGGAUUUUCGGAAGUCAACUUGCUUGGGAGAGGAAGUUAUGGUGCGGUUUAUAAGUGUGUUUUGGACACUGAAGAAAGAACAUUGGCUGUCAAGGUGUUUAAUCUUGGUCAUUCUAGAUAUUCCAAGAGUUUUGAGGCUGAAUGUGAGGCGAUGAGAAGGAUACGGCACCGUUGUCUCAUUAAAAUCAUUACUUCUUGUUCGAGCGUCAACCACCAAGGUCAAGAGUUCAAGGCAUUGGUUUUUGAGUUCAUGCCCAAUGGUAACUUGGAUGGUUGGCUUCAUCCAAAAUCGCAAGAUCCCACUAUAAACAACACACUCAGCCUUGCCCAAAGGCUUGAUAUUGCUGUUGAUAUUGUGGAUGCAGCAGAAUAUCUGCACAACUACUGCCAACCAUUGGUAAUCCAUUGUGAUCUUAAGCCAAGCAACAUUCUUCUUGCCGAAGACAUGAGCGCCCGAGUUGGAGACUUUGGCAUAUCAAGGAUCCUUCAAGAAAAUACAAGCGAGGGGAUGCCAGCUUUAAAUAGCUCAACCGGAAUUAGAGGUUCCAUAGGCUAUGUUGCUCCAGAGUAUGGCGAAGGCUCUGCGGUCUCAGCAGCUGGUGAUAUUUAUAGUUUUGGCAUAUUACUGCUUGAGAUGUUUACCGGAAGGAGCCCAACAGAAGGCACGUUCAGAGAUUCGUUGGAUCUGCAUAAGUUUGCCGAUGAUGCUCUUCCAGGUAGAACCUUGGAGAUAGCUGACCCAAGCAUGUGGCUGGACUGCAGGCAACACGAUGACACUACAAGUAUUAGAAUCCAGGAGUGCUUGGUUUCAGUGUUGAGGCUUGGCAUAUCCUGCUCAAAGCAACAGCCUCGAGACCGAGCACUGACGAGGGAUGCAGCAGCAGAGAUGCAUGCAAUCAGAGAUGCGUACCUCAUGUUUAUUGGGGACCAUGGAGCAGAAAGAGAAGCUCCGACUCAAGAAAUUCAGAACGGCGUUGAAUAA